GGAAUUCAUCGCUCUAAUAGCAACAUGGGAGAAAGAGGAGAGAGAAGCUGGACCAGGAGCGGGGAGACUAGGCAAGUGAUGAUAGGACCCUGGACUGAGGGAAUAGCAGCAGAGGAAGAGAGAUGGGAACAGAUACGAUAUGUGGUAAAGAGAGAGAAACACGGUCCUGAUGCCUGGAUGAAGGGUAAAAGAAAGAAAAGAGGCAGGAAGACUCCCAAGUCAGGAAGCCUCAGAAGUCGCCUGGGAGGGUGGAUGUUGGUACUGUCCCUGGACAUGGGGACAGGUUUUGCAGAGAUGAACAAACAGUUUGAGGCACCUGCAAGACCCUGGCUGGAUGUAUAUAGGUCUAGAUGCAGGUGAGAGUCUGGGCCAGAAAUAGAUUCUAGAGGCAUCUAUAUCUAAGAGGUCCACUUACAUGAUAGCUUGAAGACGGCCUAAUGCUUUGGACUCUUAGACUCUUAGACUCUCAUUUUAAUUAUUAUAUUGCUGGAGUCACUCUCUCAUUUCCAUUAUUUCAAAUUGUUCAUCCCAUAAAGGAACAUUGCCAGCAGUGGAUAAUCACAGCGCUGCAAUGGCUAAUGCUGCAUUAUGUCCCCUGGGGAGUUUGAAAAUGUAAAGUCCUGGAUCCCACCCCCAGAGACUGAUCAGUACGCAAGAGGCCUCGUCUCCAUGGUGGAGUCACAGGAGAGAAGCAGCCUGUGUCCCUGAGUCCCUGCUGGAAAGGAGAUUCCCUGGAGGACACUCAGAGCCACAGUGGACUUUGCAUGAGUGAGAAAUAAACCUUUCAGUGUUAAAUCACUGAGCUUUUAGGGUGUGUCUGUUACUGAAGGCUAGUCUAGCCAAUCCUAACCAAUACAGCCAGCCUUCUGUGUAUCCCAGAAACCAGCUUUAUAAACAUGCACUGUUGGUGAUUCUGGUGCAGUGGCCCGCUGACCACACUUAGUGACCCAGUGUCCUUUGUUCAGAAAUGAGGAUGGGCAUGUCGCUGAAGGAAGCAUGAUCCGUCAGUGUAACUAAUGUGUUGAUCACAGUUUGUGAGCAUCUGCCGUGUGCC
Molecule: long non-coding RNA, 1054 nt
Filed under: Equus caballus (horse)
Lineage: Eukaryota; Metazoa; Chordata; Mammalia; Perissodactyla; Equidae
Description: lncRNA (ENSECAG00000054280.1)
Source: RNAcentral